GACGAACGCUGGCGGCGUGCUUAACACAUGCAAGUCGAACGGAAAGGCCCUGCUUUUGUGGGGUGCUCGAGUGGCGAACGGGUGAGUAACACGUGAGUAACCUGCCCUUGACUUUGGGAUAACUUCAGGAAACUGGGGCUAAUACCGGAUAGGAGCUCCUGCUGCAUGGUGGGGGUUGGAAAGUUUCGGCGGUUGGGGAUGGACUCGCGGCUUAUCAGCUUGUUGGUGGGGUAGUGGCUUACCAAGGCUUUGACGGGUAGCCGGCCUGAGAGGGUGACCGGCCACAUUGGGACUGAGAUACGGCCCAGUCUCCUACGGGAGGCAGCAGUGGGGAAUAUUGCACAAUGGGCGGAAGCCUGAUGCAGCAACGCCGCGUGCGGGAUGACGGCCUUCGGGUUGUAAACCGCUUUCGCCUGUGACGAAGCGUGAGUGACGGUAAUGGGGAAAGAAGCACCGGCUAACUACGU
This 467-nucleotide ribosomal RNA is filed under the name uncultured bacterium. Its description in RNAcentral is "partial 16S ribosomal RNA". It matches the Rfam family "Bacterial small subunit ribosomal RNA", at positions 28 to 506 of the family's 1533-position model. The record is from RNAcentral.